GGCGAAAUGGCCGAGUGGUCUAAGGCGUCAGACUCAAGUUUUCUGAUCUCGUUAUCGAGGCGUGGGUUCGAAUCCCACUUUCGUCA
RNAcentral lists this non-coding RNA (86 nucleotides) under Strongyloides ratti. RNAcentral's name for it is "tRNA SRAE_2000600109". It matches the Rfam family "tRNA". Rfam says of the family: Transfer RNA (tRNA) molecules are approximately 80 nucleotides in length. Their secondary structure includes four short double-helical elements and three loops (D, anti-codon, and T loops). The record is from RNAcentral. Lineage: Eukaryota; Metazoa; Nematoda; Chromadorea; Rhabditida; Strongyloididae.